Non-coding RNA from Paramuricea clavata, 440 nucleotides. The record is from the annotation of a GenBank genome assembly. NCBI's taxonomy places the organism in Eukaryota, Metazoa, Cnidaria, Anthozoa, Malacalcyonacea, Plexauridae.
CCAUGAUUUAAUCGACGUGUCACUCGGCUUCUGAAAACCCAUACUUCCCUUUGACAUCCAUUGUCUCCAGUUGAGAAAACGCUAAACUGCUGAGCUUAUGUCGGUUGGAACCCUUUCAUCAACUAUUGCUCCACCCGGCAGCACCUUAGCCAGAAGACCAAGAUGCCAUCUUUACUUUCCAAUUCACGCUCUUUCCUUCUGCCCACGUUGACAGUGUGUGACGGUAUCCGUUUGAAGACAGUUUACUUUACAUGUAUGCAGCAUUCUUUAGUAUAACACCCGCGUUAAAUGUCGUUGGUCAUGUAGUAUGCUUCCAGCUUUCUACAUCACGUCUAGAUUCUUUUGUUUAAUGUAUGUCAUCCGCUGAAGAGUGGUUUGUUCUUGUUGUUUUUUUAAAUUGGCUUCUGGUAAAAAGUCCAUGUUCAUACAAUCAAUUCUUC